This 38-nucleotide transfer RNA is filed under the name Orthotomus sericeus. RNAcentral describes it as "partial tRNA-Trp". Lineage: Eukaryota; Metazoa; Chordata; Aves; Passeriformes; Cisticolidae. The record is from RNAcentral.
GAAACUUAGGAUUACUUAAACCGAAGGCCUUCAAAGCC